RNAcentral lists this ribosomal RNA (253 nucleotides) under uncultured bacterium. Its description in RNAcentral is "partial 16S ribosomal RNA". It matches the Rfam family "Bacterial small subunit ribosomal RNA", at positions 524 to 776 of the family's 1533-position model. The record is from RNAcentral.
GACGAACCGAGCGAACGUUGCUCGGAAUCACUGGGCUUAAAGGGCGCGUAGGCGGGUGCUCAAGUCCGGGGUGAAAUCCUCCAGCUCAACUGGAGAACUGCCUCGGAUACUGGGUGCCUCGAGGGUGGUAGGGGUAUGCGGAACUAUCGGUGGAGCGGUGAAAUGCGUUGAUAUCGAUAGGAACUCCGGUGGCGAAGGCGGCAUACUGGACCACAUCUGACGCUGAGGCGCGAAAGCCAGGGGAGCAAACGGG